Molecule: long non-coding RNA, 10427 nt
Filed under: Panax ginseng (ginseng)
Lineage: Eukaryota; Viridiplantae; Streptophyta; Magnoliopsida; Apiales; Araliaceae
Description: long non-coding RNA (PGIN_LNC013531)
Source: RNAcentral
AACUGGCAAAAUGGAAACAAGUCCCCAUUUUGGUUGCUAUAAAAUGACAGGCUGAAGUAUUUUUUUUAAAAAAAAUUCUCUAAUGAUUAUCUUUCUUUUUUUCCAACCACUUGUUAUAAUUCUUGAAUUAAUAGCUGUCCAACUGUGCACUUAUAUCACUCUUAGGUGAUUGCGAAAAAAUUUCAUUCUUAGGUGCCAUCAUGUAACAACAAUCCCGUUAUACAUAUCAAUAAAAUCACUCCUGUUGUUGGAAGGGAGAAGGGAUGGACUUAUAUCAUUCUAAACCCAAAAUUCGUGUUAUCAUAUUUCACAUAAACGAAAAUUCCACAGUUGCAAAGGAAACAUAUUUGCGUGAUCCCAUCUAUACAAAUUGAUUAUUACCUAUAUAAUGUAUUUUCUAAAAGAUGCAAGUCUGCCUACAAGAAUUCACUUUACAAAAAACCUUACAACAUCAUUUGAUAUUAUACCAUUAUUUCCACCCCCAAACAUCAAAAGGACUAAAAAUGGGAAAUAUAAAAGUAAAAAUCCAGCCCUGCCUAUUGUAAUAUUAUACCAUCUCUAUUCAACUUUAGAAUUAACAUUACUUGAAGCUCACUCAUAAACAUGCACAAGCAUCAUUACACUUUCUACGUAGAUAGAAUUAUGAAGAAUGCAAGUCCAAAUUUAUGCAUACUUCUGUAUUAUAUAACUAAUUUAUUUAUUUAUAUUGGUUUAUUUAAUAGCUAUACAUACCUACACUAGCAAAGCCAAUACAGUUUAAACUAGAUUCAAUUAAACUUUGACCAUACCAAGCUUAGAUGAUAAAAUAACAAAGCACCAUUCCCCCAUAUCCCCGUUUAAUGAGGUCGUAGCGUAAAUGAACUAAAUUAAGAAAGAUUUGUGACUCUAAAUCUCCAAACAUUAUUUCAAAAGCUUAGCACAAGACCGAUUGCCGGUCAACAAAACGCGCAUCCAGGUGCCUUGGACUUUAAUACUUUAUAACUUGUCCAGAGCCUUGCAGAUUUGAUAAUAUUCUAACAGUAUAAAGAAACAGCAUUAUGUUCAGUAAAAAAAGCAUACCAUGGGAGCUUGAACGUGUCCUUCCACCACCCUUGUUUGCAGCAGUUAAGGAUUAUUUUGUCCAACCUUAUAAUGACUUCCGAGAAAGUUGGCCUUAUAUGGUAUUGCGGAUUCCAACAUUCCUCAAUCAACCUGUAUGUUUUGCAAAGAUAACAUUAUUAAACACGAGAAUAAAUUUUAAUUUCAAUUUAGAAUACCAUGAAGGCAUAAAUCCAUUAAGAUCAAACCACAAAUGGAGAAAUGAAGCAAUAUAUGACGUGCCUCAAAUUUCAUUUGCUUAUUUUAGCUUAUUAGCUAAUAAAGGAAAUCUACCAAAAGCUCAUACGUGCUAAUAUUCUAUUAAAAAAGAAGUGAUCAUCUCAUAUGCCCACACAUGGAUAUAACAAAUCAAGCUCAGCAUAACAUACUUGGUAAAAAAAGUACACUUUGACAAUUGAUGGAGUUUGCCAAAAUUGUAACUGNNNNNNNNNNNNNNNNNNNNNNNNNNNNNNNNNNNNNNNNNNNNNNNNNNNNNNNNNNNNNNNNNNNNNNNNNNNNNNNNNNNNNNNNNNNNNNNNNNNNUUUUCUGCGACAUUUUGGCCUUCCUAAACUAAUACCACUGAAAACCAACCUAUGCAUUUAUUUUUCCUAAUACGGCCAUCAUUUUUAUUUUAAUAUCUACUUACUAUUGUUUUAAUGAACUUAAUUAAGUGGUGAAAGACAAUGAAUCAAAGAGCAUAUACUGUUAGAUAUCAGAAAAAUGACUUACUCUUUCAGAUCUGGAGGAUAAGACUUUGAUUUAUGUUUAAAUAUCGGUCUCUUUCCUUCUACGCACAUCAGUCUAGCAGCAUCUUCUGGAGACUUGGGUUGAAAUGGUUGGACUCCCUCCAUCAUCUGAAUCCAAUUACAAAGAAAAAUGAAAUAAAUAUCAAUUUAUUAUUCACUUUCUUCUUUUAUCUUUCAUACAUUCUCAAAGAAAAUAGUGGCAUGAAUUUUUCUAAGAAAAUAGAAGCUGGCUGAACCUGUAACAAAUAAAUGCCAGGAGAAUGAAGUCAUUUCAAACAGGGUAAAACUUAAAUGCUUUCGGUUGCUAAAAAACUUAUGACUAAGCCUUAUUUCAUCAGGUUAAAGUAUGAUCGCUAUAUAUUGAACUAACAAAAAGAAUGGGGAGAAAAAAGGAAAGGGAUACCUCAUAAACGAGAAGAGCGAAAGAGUAAACAUCUACUCUUUUUUCAAAUAUUUCAUCUUUGUAGAUUUCAGGUGCCACAUAUAAACCUACAUUAACAAGAACAGUAAUGAGAGUUGCACAUUGAACAGAAAGAAUUUGUUCUUAGUUUCAUGUAUAACAAGAUUUACUUUUUUUAUAUUCACAAUUCUUGAUAUUUAUUUAUUUAUUAUAUUUCACAGAUCUUGAAUAUUUAUUCAAUUAUUGAUUAUUUCGCAUUUCUUGGAUAUAUUUGGUAAUUUCAUAAACAACAGAAUGCCUUACUUUUAUCAAUACAGGAAAACAGUAAAUGCACUAAUAAUUGAAUUUUCACAUAUAAUGCAUACUAAAUCAACAAUAAAAAAGUUUUUCAUUAAAAUUCGAGAAUAUGUUACUCUGAAUAUCAAAAUAGGGAGAUUUCUAAAACUUGCAUUAUUUAAGUAGUGACCUGCCUUGGUGUAUGCCAGCUGUAGUUAAUUAGAAUUGAAUUACAAAAAGACGCAAGGAACUCUAUGAAUUUUAUUGUCACAAAAUUUUCUUCAGUGCUACAAUAUUUUCCCAAAAUAAAUCUGAAAAUACUUCACUUAUUUUAUAUUUGAAGCAAAAUAAUGGAUUGUGACUAUUAUAAAAGGUUAAAACCUGUAUGAAAAUUGAAAUUUGAAGUGAAAUCUACAAUGACAAAAACUGGGAAAAACUGUUUUUCCAAUGACAUAAAAAUAUCUUGCAACAUGUUACAGCUUCAAAGUCCGUGCAUGUCAAAUAAAGGGAUUUGACUCCCCUCCAUUACACAUUUCCUCCAAUUUCAUCCUAUACACCAAUUAUUUGAUCUCAAUAAUUUUGUUAGUAAUGAUCAAAAUAUGUUAAUAGAUAGUUGAUGAUAUUAGGAUCAAUCCUACAAAAAAAGUAGUCAUAAAAAAUAUUUUCACCAUUAAAAGUCUAAAAAAAAAUUUAUCCAUUGAAAUUUUAAUGAAAAAUCCGCAUGUUCAUCAAAUGGUGAAAAAGUGUGAGAUUACUUUCAUUUUUGAAACAAUUAUGCUAUUCAAUAUAAUAAAUUAUGAUCGGUAUCGAUUUCAAUUAUACAAUUCAAAUACCAUGUAUUGGAUGGAAUUGGAGGGAAUGUGUAAUGCAGGGGAUCCAAAUCCCAAAUAAAGUUCCAUCAACUAAUUUUUUCCUUCUGUGAUUUCCCUUCUAAUUCUUUUGGCUCUCUAAAAUAAGUGAAUAACUACGAUCAACAAUACAUGGGUUUAAAAUAACUAUCUUUCUUAUGUUCCCAAACUAAUUACCUACCAUGACUGAAGAAGAAUGCUUCUGGUGCUUCCCAUAGUAUUAUUACAGUUUCAAGGGUCCAAGUGAAGGGUACUUCAUAAGAUAAUCCAUACUAUUCUUAAAAAAAAAUAAAAAAAAAUAAAAAAAUUCCUUAUGCAUGUAUAUCCAGAUUAGAAUCUUUUUAUAUCAAGAAAGAUUAUUUUAAAGAAAGAUGACUGAAAAUAAUUGUUUGCAUUUCAUAGGUAUCUGUUUCCUUGUGUCAGUCUGCUACAACUUCCUCUAUCAGGAGCAAUAGGUUAUAAAUUGUUCAAUAAAAAACUUUAGUUCAAGCUGCUUUGGUGUGUACAAGAACUUACUGGAACGAUCAAUGGCCUCAGGCGACAAUAGUUUUGCUUUGUCUGGAGAAAUUGUUGACAUCUUAAGUACACCGAAUCCUGCAACCUUCACUUGACCUCCAGAAUCCAGUAAAAUAUUUCUGGCACCUUACCAAAAGUUCGAAUAUUAAAAACAGUGCACCUCAACAACCAAAUUCAAUUUUAAAUUGUUUAAGCAUCAAUAUUGACUUCUGCAUUUAGUUGCCUUACUUUGGCUUUAAAUCACAAUGGAUAACUGGGUCGGGUUUACAUUCAUGAAGAUAAUUCAUUCCCCUGCUAAAAAAAAUUAGCCAAGAUCAAAAUAUAUAAUGGAUGAACUCCAUGAUGAAAAUUUUCAACAAGUUUUUCAAAACAAUUAUUAUUGUAUAGGAAAGAAGUAAAAAAGAUAACUACCAAAUAGUAAUAAUAAGAGUACGAGGAAAUAUUGAUCGAAAUAAUGGUUCCACAAUUUUUUUGACAUAUAGCAAGCAAAUUUUCACUUGCCUAGCAAUAUCAAGAGCGAAUCUGAGUGCUUUAGAUAGAGAAAGACGCCCUUUCUUUUGAAGAUACAUUUUCAAAUCACCCUGAAAAAUCACCAUCAAUAUGAAAUAACAUUGUUAUAAAUGCACUGUAUUUUAAGGUAUAAGUUAAAUAUGUAUUUCACAGAUUAAAUACAUCAUUUUCCCAAAUUUGUAGAUUAUUUACAUGAAAUCCCAUAUUUAGAGCAAACUAUAAAACUAUUUGGAGGAACCCGUAUGACUAUAUUACACGUAAACUCUAUGAGGUGAGAAACGAAUUCAGCAUAUUCAAAUGUCAAGAAGUCUACAAAGAAAAGAGAAACAUAACUUAACCACGAUAAUAAUGGGAAACUUGAAUCAUAAUCUAACACUGCUACCUGUUCAGUUUCUCAUAUAAUGAGAUAUUCUGCCAAUACCCUUUAGUUGUAUUCACAUGAUAAGCAUUUUAAUAUUUCCAUUCUUAGAUCUUAGUAUUAUAGGCAAUAGAGUCUAAUCAGUGGGUGUUACCUUUAGUGUGUUUAUGUAACUUAUCUAUACAUGAACAACUGAUAUUUACCUAAAAAAAUCCGAUAACUCACUUGAGACAUGUAUACUUAUACUUCUUUGACUCACAUUGACAUGUUUACAAAACUAAAAACUAUCACAUAACAUUUAACUUUCUAUUCUUGUAACUCCUUCAACUACAUAGACAAAUAUUUAAUCAAGGAACUAUAUAUUACUUCUUAUGUUACUUCAAAAGUAUCUUGGCAUUAAUAAAUUCACAUUGUAUACAACUGGCAUAUUCUCAUUACUUUUACUUCAAGCAAUCACUAAAAAUACUAGCAUUCCUUUUCAUCCAAAUAUCUACGGCACCUUCCAUCCUGCUUCCUCCGAAAACCUCGAAAUGUGGUAAGAAGCAACUCAUAUAUUCCUAAAGGGAAGACCAAACACUCUCCUAGAACCCCAACCAAUGAACAGCACAUCCACAAAGCCAAAGGACAAUGCUAAGUAUGUUUUCUUUCAUGAAAAAUAUAUCGACUUCUCAUUCAUCAUCAGGAAGAGUAAAGAGUAAUUCCCGAAUAGUGACCAUUAACAAAAGGUAUUUUGUUUGAUUAUUUCUUUAACAAGAUUUUUACUCUGUUUCAAACACAGUGGUUCAUUUAUUUCAGAUUAUUUAAUACAAUACAAAGGAUAUGCAUGAAAGAAAACCAGCUGGACUAAAAGAAUUACUGUCCCAAACAUUACUCAAACUUCGUCAUUUAUCUAAACGUUUUGUAAUUAAAUUGUAUACCUUAUAAUGCUAUAACUAACUAUAGGAAGUAAUUAAGUUUCAUCCCCAACAUAUCAAUAGAAAGACAAUCUGACCAUAAGAGUACAUCUCAGAAUUGGAUAAUCAAACAACGCACACGCACGCACACAACGCGCACACGUGCACACACAGAGAUACUUACUUUUGUAGGAUACUCUACAACGAUCAUCAUGGGUAUAUUUUGGGUGACAGCUCCUACAAACUGAAUCACAUUAGGAUGCCUAACCUUUUCUAGCAAAGUUAACUCAUUUUUGAAAGAAUGUCUGCACAAAAGGGGACACAAGGUUGGAAGAUAACAUAGUAACUAAAAGGUCAGACAAAAUUUUCAAACUAACAGCACAACUAAGAAAAGAUAUACACACAUGCUUUCGGGGUCUGAAUAGCUAUCCUUGUCAAGUAUCUUUACAGAAACUUUUGUGCCAUUCCAUUUGGCAACUUGAUACGAUCCCUGCCAAAAGAUAGAAAUUUAUUUUGUUAUGAAGUGAAAUUGAUUUGAGAAGGCCAUUUACAAAACAAUGCAAUUUGAAAUGAAUUAGGGGGUCGGGUGUGGCAAGAAAAGGGAGAAACAUAAAAAUCAUUCUGAAACAACAAUUCUAUUGUUCUAUUAUUCUUUCACUUUUUGGUGCUAAUUGUUCACUACUCAAAUGAAUAAUAAAAUAGAUCAGGACUCGGGAGGCACAACAUUUUGAUAUUUAUAUUUUCAAGGCGAUAAUGUGAAUGAUAGAUUAAAACAUAGUAUAUGCCAGGUCCGGUCAGACAUAGUUCACACAUAUGCUAAUAUGCCACAUUGAGAUUUUCUCAAGAGUAUGGAAGUGUUGACUGGGUUUGCUGGCUUCUACUAUAAGCUCACUAAGUUGACGUAAAUUGCAGCCAGGAGAUUACUAGGGAUUCUUCCUAUUUCACCCUAACUAGUUAUAAUUUCCCAAUUAGACUAAAUGCAUUAAUACCUUUUAUAACGUCAGAACAACAUGGUGAAAUGAGAUAAUAUUAACACCACUAGCAUCUUUAAAAAUACUUCUACAGUGAGCUGACACAUACAUGAUGUAAAAUACAGGAUAUGUCCAUUCAUGCCAUGUCAAAUUGUUGACACAGGCUCUUUGCAAAUAUGAUUAUUAAAUUUCCUUUAACCUAGAGGUUCGAGAAGUUAGAGAUACAUACAGUUUAAUACAAGUGACUAUUGAUAGCAUCAUACGAAUACAAAUUAUCGCCAUACAUAACAAUUCACUACAGAUAAGCAAAAGAUAAUAUGGCCAUUCACGGAAAUUUUAACCAGUGAUGACACUCAAUGCGUUAUAAAAUCAAACUCGCAAGAAAUUAAAGUAAGGUGUGUGAUCAUUAGAGCACAACUCAUCUAGAAAGGCCAGAGCAAAAUACUUUCUUAGUGGCAUAUAUCAUGGAUAAUACUUAGCACAGAAAAAACUUUAAAUGUGCACCUUUGAGUUAUUCUACAAGAUAUUAUGCACUGAGAUAUGAUCACAGGUUUUUGGAAAAAGAUAAAUAAAUCUUCACUGUGAUGCAUACAUUCAAAUAAAUUUACUGUAAGGAAGGAAUUUUGGCUGUCAUAGUCGAAUGGCAAACAGACAAGAUUGCACAGCCAUUUAUAAAGAAAAAGAAAAAGAAAAAGAAAAGAAAAGAGAGAUCCAUGUUCACUUCGCAUCACAAAAAGAAUAUUGAACAGUAACAAGACAAAAACGAGUCGCUUCUUAAAUUAGAAAGCUUCACACUUCCGUAUAUUCUAGGUCACCGAAUUAAAGGAGAUGAUUUAUCCCAACAGCUAAAAACGACACACCAGCAUACACAAUGGCAUACAGAAAGAGAGAAAACAGGAGAUGCUUACACACUGUGAUCAAGAAAAAUUUGCUAGUAUUUUGGUGUCAGAUGAUGCAUGAAUGAGUUCCAAACAAAAAGCUCUAUUCAAUAUACAGUGAAAGGAUAAAGAUCAUGCCUUUGUGAUACCAUCACUUUUGCGAACCUGAAGCUCUAUUGGAUUGAGCUCAUACUCUGGUACUUCUCGUGGAUUUGCAACUGACAUUGGAGUCUUUCUGGUUUUCUAGGAACAUGGCAAACACUUCCAUGAUUAUCUUUAAUCAAGAAAUACUUUAAUACUAUAGAGGGAUUUUUUUCUCACAUACCGGAGCUUUAGCUCCACGUGCCUUCAAAAUAUUGUAAAUUUCGACAUUGCCAUAGUACUUCGCAUCAGCAGCUGCCUAUCAUGAUAAAUAAAAACCUUCUAAAAAGACUGUAGGUGGAUGAUAAGCAACAGAACUACUUGGAGGGAUGAAAAAGUAGCCAAGUCAAAGAACCACGAGAAUAAAAACUGAAAUGUUAAAAAAAUUCAUAACUACAAUGUUACAUCAUUUCUUCUCUGAAAUGAGAUACCAACUGGGCCCGUUUGAUGAGUAUAGUAAAAAGUAAGUUUUAUUUUAAUUUCAAAAAUUGCCAGCCUACUCUAUUCACCUGUCAAGAUUGCCCAUUUGUAAUAUUGGUUUGAGCUGAUGGUUUCUUAAAAAGCUUACUUUAAUAUUAAAAGGAGCAACAUGAAUAAGUAAGAGGUUUUCCUCAUGGAAGGAAUAUGAAAGGAGAUCUAGAAAAAGAAAUUGAAUCCUGUAAUAUAGAAGCAGCCAUUAAGAAUUUGCAGUUCAGUCAAUGAUAGUAAUAUUGUCAUGUAAGGAGCGAGGAUCGUCCUCCCAGAUAUAUAUAUAUAUAUAUAUAUAUAUAUAGACACACACACACACACACACUUACACUUAAGACACUCAGUCUUCUCAUUAACUAGCCUAAAUAUACAUCACUCCAAUCCCUGAAGAGCAAAAGAGGACCAUAGCCACCAAAAAUAUAGCAACAUAUCUGAGGGCCAAAACUCUUGACCUGCCCUAAACAUUACAAUUAAAGCAUCUCAUUUUAUCGAAAAUUUUAAAAUAAAUUUAAUACCUCACGUAACUUCCUGCAACUUCCAAAAGAAAAAGAAUCUAAACGUGAUCUUCAUCCAUACAGACCAGUUUAAUGAUACUCGAUGCUUUCUGUUUCACUUUUCAAAGAUACCCCCAAAAAUACCAAAUUAUCAAAAAAUUCUAAUAUAUGGAAGUUGAAACUAUACCUCCUCCUGUAAAGAGAACUAAAAGUGACAAUCACUAGUACAUAAAGAAAAAGUUAACACUUUCAGCUCUUCGGUGACAAAACCAAGAGAUCAUAAUUUGAUGUAUGAAUUGACCACCAUAUAAUGAGUUGGAUCAUGACCCUUAGGUAGUCUUCUCCUUUUCCUCCCAUAAAGACAAGAAGAAGUUUUGGAAAUGACAUUCUAUCACUCAAAAGGCUAUGAGAUAUACCAAAGUAUAAGGUCAACAAGGAAAAAAAAAAAAACCAAAGUAUGUGCAGUUCUGCACCUUAUCUUGAAAAAAAAAAAGUACUUUGUUCACCUUAUAGUCUAACUAUGUUGUCAAAGUGAAAUUAAAUUUUAUUUAUCCUCGGGCCCUUCAGAAAAUUCUCCUUUGAUCUGUUUCUAUAGUCACCACUCACCCAUCUACCAAUUAAAAAUGGAAUAGCAUAAAUCUUUAUCAAAUACGUGUCAGAAAUUAAUGACUAAUAACAGCAUAAUAAGAAAGCAUCAAAGAAUUAAAUCAAACUGAGAAUAAUAAUAUACCGUACUCCCCCAACGAUCUCGAGCAUCAAUAUUAGCCCUGCGACUCAACAACACCUCCACAACAUCUACAUGGCCUUCGCACGCAGCAAUAUGCAAAGCAGUCCGGCCAUCCAAAUCAAUGCUGUUAACAUCAACACCAUCAUCAAGCAAAUCCUGCACGCCCUCCACACCCCCUUUACACGCCAAGAACAGCAAUUGCAUGGUCGAAUCCAGAUUUUCCGGCACGCACAGAUCAUCCUCCCCAGGGUUUCUCCGGAUCGGAUCGAGCGACGAUUGACGUCCGAAACUAAACCGCAAGUUCUUGGAACGAGGAUCGAGAGAGUUCUGUCGCUUGAAGCUGAAUCUCCCAUUCCUCAAUGAUCCAGUCGAGAAUUGUCGCGAGAUUCCUCGCUUCAAUUGCGCAGCUAAGGCCAUUUGAAAUUGUGCUGGAAUUUAUGGCUCGAGAUCGAGAGCUCCGCCGUGAAGCUCCCGAUUACGAGCGGAAAAACAAACGGAGAGUGGUCGGAGAUUGGGAGUGUUUGGCUUAAUUUAGUAAGGAAAAAGAAAUGGAGGAAUUAUCAUUGAAAAUAAUUUUUCAUUCCAAACAGUUUCCGGCAGAAGCGGUUAGGCCUAUAUUUUAGGGCCGUUUUUUUUCCUUUAAAGGCGUCAAUUGCCGCCGAGGUUCUUAUCCUUAACAGUAAUGAAUGUAGUACUCCUCCGUUCCUAAAAAAAAAUUUAUUCCAAAAUAUUUGUGAUUUUCUUUUCUUAAUAUAACUCGAUUUAAAAAAAUAUUUUUAUUCUUUAAUAUAAGUCAUUUGAGAAUUUUAAGUAAAUAUUAAUGGCUUAGUUUCAAAUAUUACUCCAAAUAUUAAAUAUAACUUUGGUUCUCUCAUUAUUUUCUAUCUAAUAAAUAACAAUAUCUUAUUUCAAUAUAAGGGCAAUAUAGACAAUUGAUAUUAUAUUUAAUGUUAUACAAUCAUUACCUUAAUACGUGUGCACAACCCUAAAACGACCUAUAUUAAGAACCGAGAGAGUAUUUACUUUUCUAUAUUAUCCCUACCUUGUCUCAUUAUCAUAAGAAAUUCUCUUCCUUGUAUUAAUAGUUUUCAACUUCCCAUAAAAAAGGGGUAGUGAUAGAAUU